CUAAGAAUCUUCCGCAAUGGGCGCAAGCCUGACGGAGCGACGCCGCGUGGGCGAAGAAGGCCGCAAGGUUGUAAAGUCCUUUUCGGGAAGAUGAAUAAGGAGAGCAUGCAAUGGUUUUCCGAUGACAUGAAUCCCGGAAUAAGCCCCGGCUAACUACGUGCCAGCAGCCGCGGUAACACGUAGGGGGCGAGCGUUGUUCGGAAUCAUUGGGCGUAAAGGGCGCGCAGGCGGCGUUUAAAGUCUGGCGUGGAAGUCCCCGGCUCAACCGGGGGACGGCGUUGGAAACUGGGACGCUUGAGUAAGGCAGGGGAUGGCGGAAUUCCAGGUGUAGGGGUGAAAUCUGUAGAUAUCUGGAGGAACACCGACGGCGAAGGCAGCCAUCUGGUCCAUUACUGACGCUGAGGCGCGAAGGUGCGGGGAGCAAACAGG
Molecule: ribosomal RNA, 429 nt
Filed under: uncultured bacterium
Lineage: Bacteria
Description: bacterial SSU rRNA
Rfam family: Bacterial small subunit ribosomal RNA
Source: RNAcentral